GACGAACGCUGGCGGCGUGCCUAAUACAUGCAAGUAGAACGCUGAAGGAGGAGCUUGCUUCUCUGGAUGAGUUGCGAACGGGUGAGUAACGCGUAGGUAACCUGCCUGGUAGCGGGGGAUAACUAUUGGAAACGAUAGCUAAUACCGCAUAAGAGUAGAUGUUGCAUGACAUUUGCUUAAAAGGUGCAAUUGCAUCACUACCAGAUGGACCUGGGUUGUAUUAGCUAGUUGGUGGGGUAACGGCUUACCAAGGCGACGAUACAUAGCCGACCUGAGAGGGUGAUCGGCCACACUGGGACUGAGACACGGCCCAGACUCCUACGGGAGGCAGCAGUAGGGAAUCUUCGGCAAUGGACGGAAGUCUGACCGAGCAACGCCGCGUGAGUGAAGAAGGUUUUCGGAUCGUAAAGCUCUGUUAUAAGAGAAGAACGAGUGUGAGAGUGGAAAGUUCACACUGUGACGGUAUCUUACCAGAAAGGGACGGCUAACUACGUG
Molecule: ribosomal RNA, 495 nt
Filed under: uncultured bacterium
Lineage: Bacteria
Description: partial 16S ribosomal RNA
Rfam family: Bacterial small subunit ribosomal RNA
Source: RNAcentral